RNAcentral lists this ribosomal RNA (497 nucleotides) under uncultured bacterium. RNAcentral describes it as "partial 16S ribosomal RNA". It matches the Rfam family "Bacterial small subunit ribosomal RNA", at positions 28 to 507 of the family's 1533-position model. The record is from RNAcentral.
GAUGAACGCUGGCGGCGUGCCUAAUACAUGCAAGUCGAGCGAACAGACGAGGAGCUUGCUCCUCUGACGUUAGCGGCGGACGGGUGAGUAACACGUGGAUAACCUACCUAUAAGACUGGGAUAACUUCGGGAAACCGGAGCUAAUACCGGAUAAUAUAUUGAACCGCAUGGGUCAAUAGUGAAAGACGGUUUUGCUGUCACUUAUAGAUGGAUCCGCGCCGCAUUAGCUGGUUGGUAAGGUAACGGCUUACCAAGGCAACGAUGCGUAGCCGACCUGAGAGGGUGAUCGGCCACCCUGGAACUGGGCCACGGUCCAGGCGCCUACGGGAGGCAGCAGUAGGGAAUCUUCCGCAACGGGCGAAAGCCUUACGGAGCAACGCCGCGUGAGUGAUGACGGUCUUCGGAUCGUAAAACUCUGUUAUUAGGGAAGAACAAAUGUGUAAGUAACUAUGCACGUCUUGACGGUACCUGAUCAGAAAGCCACGGCUAACUACGUG